This 895-nucleotide ribosomal RNA is filed under the name uncultured bacterium. Its description in RNAcentral is "bacterial SSU rRNA". It matches the Rfam family "Bacterial small subunit ribosomal RNA", at positions 8 to 916 of the family's 1533-position model. The record is from RNAcentral.
AGAGUUUGAUCAUGGCUCAGGACGAACGCUGGCGGCGUGCUUAACACAUGCAAGUCGAGCGGAAAGGCCCCUUCGGGGGUACUCGAGCGGCGAACGGGUGAGUAACACGUGAGCAACCUGCCCCUGACUCUGGGAUAAGCCCGGGAAACUGGGUCUAAUACCGGAUAUGACCACUCCAGGCAUCUGGUGGUGGUGGAAAGUUUUUCGGUUGGGGAUGGGCUCGCGGCCUAUCAGCUUGUUGGUGGGUUGAUGGCCUACCAAGGCGACGACGGGUAACCGGCCUGAGAGGGCGACCGGUCACACUGGGACUGAGACACGGCCCAGACUCCUACGGGAGGCAGCAGUGGGGAAUAUUGCGCAAUGGGCGGAAGCCUGAUGCAGCGACGCCGCGUGAGGGAUGACGGCCUUCGGGUUGUAAACCUCUUUCAGCAGGGAAGAAGCGAAAGUGACGGUACCUGCAGAAGAAGCGCCGGCUAACUACGUGCCAGCAGCCGCGGUAAUACGUAGGGCGCGAGCGUUGUCCGGAAUUAUUGGGCGUAAAGAGCUCGUAGGCGGCUUGUCGCGUCGGUUGUGAAAGCCCGGGGCUUAACCCCGGGUCUGCAGUCGAUACGGGCAGGCUAGAGUUCGGUAGGGGAGAUCGGAAUUCCUGGUGUAGCGGUGAAAUGCGCAGAUAUCAGGAGGAACACCGGUGGCGAAGGCGGAUCUCUGGGCCGAUACUGACGCUGAGGAGCGAAAGCGUGGGGAGCGAACAGGAUUAGAUACCCUGGUAGUCCACGCCGUAAACGGUGGGCACUAGGUGUGGGCGACAUUCCACGUCGUCCGUGCCGCAGCUAACGCAUUAAGUGCCCCGCCUGGGGAGUACGGCCGCAAGGCUAAAACUCAAAUGAAUUGACGG